Molecule: ribosomal RNA, 256 nt
Filed under: Dehalococcoidia bacterium
Lineage: Bacteria; Bacillati; Chloroflexota; Dehalococcoidia
Description: partial 23S ribosomal RNA
Rfam family: Bacterial large subunit ribosomal RNA
Source: RNAcentral
AGCUUUCCCUAGUACGAGAGGACCGGGAAGGACGUACCUCUGGUGUUCCGGUUGUCCCGCCAGGGGCACUGCCGGGUAGCUAUGUACGGAACGGAUAAGCGCUGAAAGCAUCUAAGUGCGAAGCCGGCCCCAAGAUGAGACUUCCCACCCCGAGAGGGGGUAAGGCCGCAGAGAGACUAUCUGCUCGAUAGGCCGCAGGUGUAAGCGCAGCAAUGCGUUCAGCCGAGCGGUACUAAUCGGCCGAGGACUUGACCAU